This 70-nucleotide non-coding RNA is filed under the name Ditylum brightwellii. Lineage: Eukaryota; Bacillariophyta; Thalassiosirophyceae; Lithodesmiales; Lithodesmiaceae. The record is from RNAcentral.
GAACUUUUGUUUAAAAGACAAACACACGCCUGUUUUUGUUACGUGUUCAGAGGAUAAUAAACUCCAUAUC